Raphanus sativus (radish) is the source of this 1950-nucleotide RNA transcript. It is a transcript of the gene named probable WRKY transcription factor 14, with no coding region annotated. The transcript has 4 exons. Lineage: Eukaryota; Viridiplantae; Streptophyta; Magnoliopsida; Brassicales; Brassicaceae. The record is from RefSeq and is a predicted model, not a curated record.
AAUUUAUAUUUUUUUUUAUGAAAUCUCUCUUUUUCUCUCACCAACAUGUAGAAAGGGAAGAAGAAAUUCAUCUCAUCAGGAAAAGUCAGCGUCUCUCUCUUUUCAUCAACCUUCCUUCUUCUUCUUCAUCUUCUCAAUCUCUUUUGAAGAUAGUCACAAUUUGUUUCAGGAAAUACUCACAAACACGAUGCUAGUAUCAUAAUCUCCUCUUCCCAUUGACUGAUUAUAUUUUCUUAAUUUUCGAUCAUAUUCUUUCGUAUAUAUGUAUAUAAUAUACACCAAAAUACACUCAUAUAUAUCAUCACACAUAGAUUACAGCAUCUUUUAGCUUCUUGAGAUGGACAAUUUUCAAGGAGACUUGACCGACGUCGUGCGAGGUAUUGGAGGCCACAUGCUGUCUCCGGAAGUUUCUUCUCCUCCGAGCAUAUUGCCUCUUCCACAACCAUCUCCCUCAGAUCUUCACAUAAAUCCUUUUGGAGAUCCAUUCGUGAGCAUGACCGAUCCUCUUCUCCAAGAACUCAACGCCGUCACAAAAUCUAGUCAUUUCUCCACCGCCAGGAACAACAGCAACAACGGUUUCUUAGUUCCUAAGGUACUGGAGCAUGAUCAAAUAAAGAGUCAAUGCAGUAUCUUCCCAAGAAUCCGGAUCUCGCAUAGUAACAUCAUCCACGAGUCCUCUCCGUGUAAUUCUCCGGGCAUGUCGGCUCACGUUAUGGCCGCCGCCGCCUCGCCUAGAGGGAUUAUCAACGUCAAUACAAACAGUCCUAGAAAUUGUCUAUUGGUCGAUGGUAACACGUUCUCGUCUCAGAUUCAGAUUUCUUCCCCUCGGAAUAUAGGUCUUAAGAGAAGGAAGAGUCAGGCAAAGAAGGUGGUGUGUAUACCGGCGCCGGCUGCAAUGAACAGCCGAUCAAGUGGAGAAGUGGUUCCGUCUGAUCUAUGGGCUUGGCGUAAGUACGGUCAGAAACCCAUCAAAGGCUCUCCUUUUCCAAGGGGUUACUAUAGAUGCAGCAGCUCAAAAGGUUGUUCAGCUAGAAAGCAAGUCGAAAGAAGCCGAGCAGAUCCAAGCAUGUUGGUUAUUACAUAUACUUCCGAACAUAACCAUCCUUGGCCCAUUCAACGCAACGCUCUUGCCGGUUCCACACGCUCCUGCUCCUCUAACCCUAAUUUCUCCAAAUCCUCAACCGGAACAGCUUCAUUCGAUGGCCCUCAAAACAACACUCACUUGCCUUCCUCAGCCUCUGCCGUUAAGAACGAACAAACAGAAGACAUGGAGUUGGAAAAUUUUGAAGACGAUGACGAUAAUAAAAUUGCUCCAUAUAGACCGGAGCUUCAUGACCAGCCAGAUGAUUUCUUUGCAGAUCUUGAAGAGCUAGAAAUAGAAGGAGAUUCUCUAAGCAUGUUGCUUUCUCAAGGAUGCGCCGGCGACCCGAACAAUGAAACGAUAGCGUUCGACGGGAUCACUGAUUUCUUCGGUUGGUCUGAGGGAAAUAAUAAUAAAGACGAUCAAGAGUCAAAGUCGUUAUAGAUAGUGUUAAUAACUUAACAUAAACAUAAUUCAAGACUAAGUUAAGCUUGUGAAAAUGACGACUAUAGCUAGCGGUGGGUCAAUGAGCUGGUUACUUGGGCGAUCGUUAAAGAUGUCUAUGUAAUCAAGUUUUGCUGCGGGUCUGGGAGCAGGAAAAGUGGGGCGAAGGAAUAUUAGGUGGAUGGGACACAAAGUGAAUAAGUUCGUUCAUCUACAGCUCAAUCACCCAGGCGCAUCCAAUAAAAAUACAAAGCUCUGAAACCAGGCCAAUUGUCUUGUUUAUAAUAUCAGAAUUUAAAUUAUACCUAUCAUUUAUUUAAAUUCAUUUCUUGUAUGAGUUCCUACAAUUUUUUUCUCAGGUGUACUGGACUGAUUAUAUACGUCAACAGCCAGCUAUAAAUGUUUCAAACCUUACAGAUGAGAUA